Molecule: ribosomal RNA, 152 nt
Filed under: uncultured cyanobacterium
Lineage: Bacteria; Bacillati; Cyanobacteriota
Description: partial 16S ribosomal RNA
Rfam family: Bacterial small subunit ribosomal RNA
Source: RNAcentral
UGUACACACCGCCCGUCACACCAUGGAAGCUGGUCACGCCCGAAGUCAUUACCUCAACCGCAAGGAGGGGGAUGCCUAGGGCAGGGCUAGUGACUGGGGUGAAGUCGUAACAAGGUAGCCGUACCGGAAGGUGUGGCUGGAUCACCUCCUUA